UCCCCUGCUUCCUCUUCCUUGCUGUUAUUAGGUUGAUAAUUAUGACAAAAGUGAUGGAGUCCAUCUGUUCUCCAGACUGGGCUAGAUCUGCUAAAAAUCAUUCCUGGACUCGGCAGACCAUUGGGUCGCUGCUCACGUGCACUGCAUUACUCUUCUGUAGACCUUCUUUGCUGAACAGAUUCCAAAGGAAGCAAGCAAUUGAAUAUUAUAAACAAGUGAUACAAAUAAAGGAAAAUGCGGGGACUUUCGCCAACUCCUCACUCGUCAGGAAGCAGCUAAGCAUUAGCCUCAGUGACACCUUGUGUAAAUUAGAAAGCUAUUGAAAAAUAAAAACAACUGGCCAUCUCAGUGGCUGCACUGCCUUUAAUGCCAGAAUAUUUCCCUGUACGUGAGGCAGUCUGGCUCACAGCUGUCUACCAAGUCCUCCUAAUCUUGGACUUCCCUUUCCUGGUAAUUUUGAAAAGAAGAGAGAAAACAGGCAGAAGUUCUUGCAAAGGGUGUUCUUUUUCAAAUAAAAGGCAAAGUCAUACUAGGAAAGACAUCUUUUGUCCUUCCCUAUUCUUUUUUUCCGGGAAUGUAGACGCAAUGCCAGGCGGUAAGAGCCGCCAUCUUGGGACGAUGUGGAUGGAUGUCACAAGCCAAGGACGGUGGAGGAGAAAGGUGGAAAGAGCCCGGUUUCUGAAGAGCCUGUUAGGACUCACGCCUGCCUUGGAGUGUCGAUGUGUGGGCUUCUUUUCAUGUGAAUUAAAUAAACUCCUUGCUUUGUUUAAAUCACUCUAGAAAGGUUUUCUGUUACAAAUGAACAUAAUCCUAAUCCAUUUAACCAACGUUGUUAGAAAUAUAGAGAAG
RNAcentral lists this long non-coding RNA (849 nucleotides) under Ursus maritimus (polar bear). RNAcentral's name for it is "lncRNA (ENSUMAG00000011964.1)". The record is from RNAcentral. Lineage: Eukaryota; Metazoa; Chordata; Mammalia; Carnivora; Ursidae.